AAAUUGAAGAGUUUGAUCAUGGCUCAGAUUGAACGCUGGCGGCAGGCCUAACACAUGCAAGUCGAACGGUAACAGGAAACAGCUUGCUGUUUCGCUGACGAGUGGCGGACGGGUGAGUAAUGUCUGGGAAACUGCCUGAUGGAGGGGGAUAACUACUGGAAACGGUAGCUAAUACCGCAUAAUGUCGCAAGACUAAAGAGGGGGACCUUCGGGCCUCUUGCCAUCGGAUGUGCCCAGAUGGGAUUAGCUAGUAGGUGGGGUAACGGCUCACCUAGGCGACGAUCCCUAGCUGGUCUGAGAGGAUGACCAGCCACACUGGAACUGAGACACGGUCCAGACUCCUACGGGAGGCAGCAGUGGGGAAUAUUGCACAAUGGGCGCAAGCCUGAUGCAGCCAUGCCGCGUGUAUGAAGAAGGCCUUCGGGUUGUAAAGUACUUUCAGCGGGGAGGAAGGGAGUAA
Molecule: ribosomal RNA, 460 nt
Filed under: Escherichia coli
Lineage: Bacteria; Pseudomonadati; Pseudomonadota; Gammaproteobacteria; Enterobacterales; Enterobacteriaceae
Also listed under: 1 other name
Description: partial 16S ribosomal RNA
Rfam family: Bacterial small subunit ribosomal RNA
Source: RNAcentral